Picea glauca (white spruce) is the source of this 119-nucleotide non-coding RNA. The record is from Rfam. NCBI's taxonomy places the organism in Eukaryota, Viridiplantae, Streptophyta, Pinopsida, Pinales, Pinaceae.
GGGUGCGAUCAUACCUGCAUUAAUGCUCCGGAUCCCAUCGAGACUCCACAGUUAAGCGUGCUUGGGCUAGAGUAGUACUCGGAUGGGUGACCUCCAAGAAAGUCCUAGUGUUGCACCCU